RNAcentral lists this long non-coding RNA (1244 nucleotides) under Cyanistes caeruleus (blue tit). RNAcentral's name for it is "lncRNA (ENSCCEG00000010054.1)". The record is from RNAcentral. Lineage: Eukaryota; Metazoa; Chordata; Aves; Passeriformes; Paridae.
CAUGUACUAAACAUCAACAAAACUCUUGUUAAAGACAAAAAAAAAAAAAAAUCCUGGCUUUAUUUACUAGAAAAGAAUGCAGGAAGUUGGGAGAUGUAAAUGUUGUGUGCUUUUCGUUCUUAAAAAACACUGAAUUGCACAGUUUCUGAAAGUCCAAACUGGCAAUCUUUUUGAGACACCAUCAGCUUUCAGGGGAUAUAUUUAAUAAAAAUGCUAUUUUUUGCAGUUUCCUUCUACCUUAGAAGACACAAAGCUCCUUGUUGCAAUGUUUUCUGUUGAUGACUGGAUACCUUCAGGGGCUAAUGAGGAGAUGUAAAACCACAGUGAACCCAGAGACCAUUUCAAAUCUAGGCCAAGUUUCACGCCGGUGCAGUUUUCCCAGGACAAUGGGUCCUUCACAGGUCCUCCUUACUUCAGGAGGCCCCUUCAACCUGCAGCACCAGCCAUGGGUCCUGCUUAAAUGGUUGUUUCAAUUCAUAUCCCAUCUCGAGCAAAAGGCUUUGUCUGAAGCUAUCAUGAAGUCACUCGCUGAGACUGCCAGAGGAUUUUUGUUGGACCUGAACUCCUCAGUACUGGAAAUAGCUCCUGACUGCUGAAUCACAGCAGUACAAGAGCAGAGCAGUGUUACUGUCUUAUCUCCUCUGCAGGCACAUUCUUUCUCCUACAGAUCACCAUAAGGGUAACAAAACCUUAUCAGCAUGACUAACACCAAAAUGUCUUGAUCCACUUAACAGUAUAGAUAUAUUUUGCACCAGCCCAUUGGAAUAUAUCAUUUCCUAAAAUUUAAAGCAAGUUUUGAUCACGCAGUGCUCUACCAAGAAGAGUUAGAACCACCCAUGGCUUUGUUCUUGCCUUAUAGGUCUUAUCUUGCCCAUGUGCUUGUUAAUACUUUUUGUCACUUUUGUGGCAGAUAGCUUCUAUCGAGCCUGUUUGGAGGAAGUCCUGCCCAUCUCAGUCUUCCACUUAUACCAGUAAGAGUUUUUGCUGCUGUUUUCUCUGGUUUAGGCUCCUGAUAUCAAAUACAGCUAUAUGAAAAACAUAAGAGACAAAAAUCUGAACUUCAGAUUCUUGGCUGGAGUAACAUAGCACAACUUCCUUAAUUUGUACCAUCUGCUCAUAUAGGCUGUGCUUGUCAGGUCUAAAGCUUUCUGAGUCAUUCAUCCAGUAGCAGGACUUCUGGAAAAUUGACUGAGAGUGGAAAAUGGUACUCAUGAAGAAUAAAUUUUGUGUUAUAACUAAUCUCA